This is a long non-coding RNA of Benincasa hispida (wax gourd), 1623 nucleotides long. RefSeq lists it as uncharacterized. Lineage: Eukaryota; Viridiplantae; Streptophyta; Magnoliopsida; Cucurbitales; Cucurbitaceae. The record is from RefSeq and is a predicted model, not a curated record.
CCAAUCGCCGCUGCUACCGCCGAAGACCCACCCCAGGUUAGCAUCCUCUCCUCGCGUCAACGGUCUGAGCCACACGCACAAGCCCCAGUCGCUCGUCGUCGCUAUCGAGGUGCUGCUCAUCCGCCCGUGGGUCGCCGCUGCUCAGAUCGGUGGCAACGAACUCGAACCCUAGCCACCGUGAAGCCAUCGACGCUCAGCCUCAAGUUUUGCAGUCGCCAAGUUCCCAGUCGUCGAUAAUGCCAGAACGUUAGAGUUAGUGUGUGUUGAAUUAGAGAUUGGGUCGUUCCGAGUCACCGUCAAGCAAAGAUUGCGAGCAAUUGGCGAGUUUAAGUGGGUUCUUAACACCCUUCGUUUUGGCGUGUAUCUACAGUCAAUUUCGUGUCUGAAACUCGAUUGUAAUUCGACUUGACCAAACACUUCGAGGUUCGAUUCAAGAUUCUUUUAAGCAAGGAAGGAGAUAAAUUUGUUUCAUUUGAGCUCAAACUCUAAGUGAGGGUAGAGAUGCACCGGCGAUGGCGUAGCGGAAUUCGUGAUCGUGCCACUGGGACUAAUUUUUACGCUUUCGCAUCAUGAAAUUUAGAGUCCUUAUUUUUUCCUUAAUGUUUAGUUUUACUGUUUGGAACUUAUUAUCAAGGAUUGUUUCUUUUAUAUACAUUUAAUAGUCUUUACGAAUUAUGGGUACCCUAUUAUUGUUUUAACAAUUGCAUUUAAAAAUGGCUUUUGAACUUUUCUUGUCUAUUUAACAUUUAUUUCAACAAAACUGAGCGUCGUCUUAAAUCCUAUGCAUGCAUUUAUUUUAGUAACAGCCUAACCUAAGUCCUAGGGGGUCGGGUCGUUACAUUAUUUCUCUCCAUUAAAUCGUGGGAUGAGGGGAGUUGUGUUGGAUCAUCUUCUUCCCUAUGAAUACAGAAGGUUUGUGCUUUUUUUUUUUUUUUUUUUGGCUUCCUCAAUAAAUCUCUUCGAAAAAGAAUUCCUCUAAAAAAUCAAUCUCUCCCUCUUCCCAAAAUUUCACAAAGUCCACAACUCUUGUUGAUUAUCAACCCUUAAGAGAAUACCCUGGUUUCCUUUGUGGUGGUGUCUAACCAAUUGGUGUUGCCCAUUUCUGGAUGUUCGUUGUUUUUGGUACAAUUCGAAGGAGAUGAUUUGUGAAGAAUUUUGUGACUUCCAGGGUUAGUUUUCUUUAAAACCAUAAUUUCCUCUCUAUUCUAUUUUCUUUAAGCAUGUUGUUUUUGUUGAAUGCAUGUCGUUUUUAAUCUCUGUAAUUUAUGUUUAUGUGAAUAAUUAAAAUUGGGAUGUGAUCUCACUUCCGCAUGGUUUUCACAAAUCUUCAAGUAAUGGGUCACUUACUUACUCAUUCUUUCUUAUAUUAUGUUUUUCAAGUAAGGAUAGAAACAAACCAGCGAGUGAAAGCGAGACUCGUGACCAUGCCAUAUGGGAUAAGAAAACCGAUUCCGCUCAGUUUAUAUUUUCAAGUUAUUUAAAAGUUUUGAUUUGGAACUCAAUGUUGAUCGAAUUUUUUUAUUGUCUAAUUGUUAUUUUUCUUAGUUGUUUUAGGGACCCCGAACAAAGGUUCUAAUUAUUUGUUAUUCUUAAAUUUAUGGAUUGUUUUGGAAAUUUUCCUUA